Molecule: ribosomal RNA, 492 nt
Filed under: uncultured bacterium
Lineage: Bacteria
Description: partial 16S ribosomal RNA
Rfam family: Bacterial small subunit ribosomal RNA
Source: RNAcentral
AGUGAACGCUGGCGGUAGGCCUAACACAUGCAAGUCGAACGGCAGCACAGUAAGAGCUUGCUCUUACGGGUGGCGAGUGGCGGACGGGUGAGGAAUACAUCGGACUCUACUUUUUCGUGGGGGAUAACGUAGGGAAACUUACGCUAAUACCGCAUACGACCUACGGGUGAAAGCAGGGGAUCUUCGGACCUUGCGCGAUUGAAUGAGCCGAUGUCGGAUUAGCUAGUUGGGGGGGUAAAGGCCCACCAAGGCGGCGAUCCGUAGCUGGUCUGAGAGGAUGAUCAGCCACACUGGAACUGAGACACGGUCCAGACUCCUACGGGAGGCAGCAGUGGGGAAUAUUGGACAAUGGGCGCAAGCCUGAUCCAGCCAUACCGCGUGGGUGAAGAAGGCGUUCGGUUUGUAAAGCCCUUUUGUUGGGAAAGAAAAGCAGCAGGUUAAUACCCCGCUGUUCUGACGGUACCCAAAGAAUAAGCACCGGCUAACUUCGUG